GACGAACGCUGGCGGCGUGCCUAAUACAUGCAAGUUGAGCGCUGAAGGUUGGUACUUGUACCAACUGGAUGAGCAGCGAACGGGUGAGUAACGCGUGGGGAAUCUGCCUUUGAGCGGGGGACAACAUUUGGAAACGAAUGCUAAUACCGCAUAAAAACUUUAAACACAAGUUUUAAGUUUGAAAGAUGCAAUUGCAUCACUCAAAGAUGAUCCCGCGUUGUAUUAGCUAGUUGGUGAGGUAAAGGCUCACCAAGGCGAUGAUACAUAGCCUACCUGAGAGGGUGAUCGGCCACAUUGGGACUGAGACACGGCCCAAACUCCUACGGGAGGCAGCAGUAGGGAAUCUUCGGCAAUGGACGAAAGUCUGACCGAGCAACGCCGCGUGAGUGAAGAAGGUUUUCGGAUCGUAAAACUCUGUUGGUAGAGAAGAACGUUGGUGAGAGUGGAAAGCUCAUCAAGUGACGGUAACUACCCAGAAAGGGACGGCUAACUACGUG
This 497-nucleotide ribosomal RNA is filed under the name uncultured bacterium. RNAcentral describes it as "partial 16S ribosomal RNA". It matches the Rfam family "Bacterial small subunit ribosomal RNA", at positions 28 to 507 of the family's 1533-position model. The record is from RNAcentral.